GAUGAAGAACGUAGCGAAAUGCGAUAAGUAAUGUGAAUUGCAGAAUUCAGUGAAUCAUCGAAUCUUUGAACGCACAUUGCGCCCGCCAGUAUUCUGGCGGGCAUGCCUGUUCGAGCGUCAUUUAAACCUUCAAGCUCAGCUUGGUGUUGGGUGACUGUCCGCCGCCUCCGGGCGCGUGGACUCGCCUCAAAAUUAUUGGCGGCCGGUACAUUGGCUUCGAGCGCAGCAGAAACGCGAACUCGGGCCCGUCGUAUUGGCUCCCAGAAGCUAUCUUCACAAUUUUGACCUCGGAUCAGGUAGGGAUACCCGCUGAACUUAAGCAUAUCAAUAAGCGGAGGA
RNAcentral lists this unclassified non-coding RNA (339 nucleotides) under soil metagenome. Its description in RNAcentral is "partial contains 5.8S ribosomal RNA, internal transcribed spacer 2, and large subunit ribosomal RNA". The stretch from base 1 to 120 matches the Rfam family "5.8S ribosomal RNA", at positions 35 to 154 of the family's 154-position model. The record is from RNAcentral.